CAGCCGCCGCGGUAAUACGAAGGUCCCGAGCGUUGUUCGGAAUCACUGGGCGUAAAGGGAGCGUAGGCGGCGUGGUAAGUCAGAUGUGAAAUCCCGGGGCUCAACCUCGGAACUGCAUCCGAUACUGCCGUGCUAGAGGAUUGGAGAGGUAGCUGGAAUUCUUGGUGUAGCAGUGAAAUGCGUGGAGAUCAAGAGGAACACUCGUGGCGAAAGCGAGCUACUGGACAAUAUCUGACGCUGAGGCUCGAAGGCCAGGGUAGCGAAAGGGAUUAGAUACCCGCGUAGUCCCUGUCUCUUAUAC
This 301-nucleotide ribosomal RNA is filed under the name uncultured bacterium. RNAcentral describes it as "partial 16S ribosomal RNA". It matches the Rfam family "Bacterial small subunit ribosomal RNA", at positions 509 to 807 of the family's 1533-position model. The record is from RNAcentral.